UUGGGAUAGCUCAGUUGGUAGAGCAGAGGACUGAAAAUCCUCGUGU
Molecule: transfer RNA, 46 nt
Filed under: Senecio inaequidens
Lineage: Eukaryota; Viridiplantae; Streptophyta; Magnoliopsida; Asterales; Asteraceae
Also listed under: 3 other names
Description: partial tRNA-Phe
Source: RNAcentral